RNAcentral lists this ribosomal RNA (467 nucleotides) under uncultured bacterium. RNAcentral's name for it is "partial 16S ribosomal RNA". It matches the Rfam family "Bacterial small subunit ribosomal RNA", at positions 28 to 507 of the family's 1533-position model. The record is from RNAcentral.
GACGAACGCUGGCGGCGUGCUUAACACAUGCAAGUCGAACGGAAAGGCCUCUUUCGGGGGGUACUCGAGUGGCGAACGGGUGAGUAACACGUGAGUAACCUGCCCUUGACUUUGGGAUGACUUCAGGAAACUGGGGCUAAUACCGGAUAGGAGCUCCUGCUGCAUGGUGGGGGUUGGAGAGUUUCGGCGGUUGGGGAUGGACUCGCGGCUUAUCAGCUUGUUGGUGGGGUAGUGGCUUACCAAGGCUUUGACGGGUAGCCGGCCUGAGAGGGUGACCGGCCACAUUGGGACUGAGAUACGGCCCAGACUCCUACGGGAGGCAGCAGUGGGGAAUAUUGCACAAUGGGUGGAAGCCUGAUGCAGCAACGCCGUGUGCGGGAUGACGGCCUUCGGGUUGUAAACCGCUUUCGCUCAUGACGAAGCUUUGUGUGACGGUAGUGGGUAAAGAAGCACCGGCUAACUACGUG